Small nuclear RNA from Solanum stenotomum, 103 nucleotides. NCBI's taxonomy places the organism in Eukaryota, Viridiplantae, Streptophyta, Magnoliopsida, Solanales, Solanaceae. The record is from RefSeq and is a predicted model, not a curated record.
GUCCCUUCGGGGACAUCCGAUAAAAUUGGAACGAUACAGAGGAGAUUAGCAUGGCUCCUGCGCAAGAAUGACAUGCACAAAUCGAGAAAUGGUCCAAAUAUAU